Molecule: long non-coding RNA, 259 nt
Filed under: Cricetulus griseus (Chinese hamster)
Lineage: Eukaryota; Metazoa; Chordata; Mammalia; Rodentia; Cricetidae
Description: lncRNA (ENSCGRG00015007572.2)
Source: RNAcentral
GUAAGCUUAUGCUCUCCUCUCAAGACGCAUUAAAGCUUUCCUGCAGAAGGAUCCGAGUGUCCUGCGUAUGAUUUCUUGCUGGCGAGAAAUACAGAGAGCGCGCGGGACAUAUGGUGCCGAAACCCGGGAACAUGUGAACAUUUCCAGCACCUCGGAGACCCCUCUAACGAGGCGGAUUCAGAACUGCAGGAGAUGUUCACAUGUUCCCGGGUUUCGGCACCAUAUGUCCCGCGCUCUCUGUAUUUCUCGCCAGCAAGAA